Molecule: ribosomal RNA, 459 nt
Filed under: uncultured bacterium
Lineage: Bacteria
Description: partial 16S ribosomal RNA
Rfam family: Bacterial small subunit ribosomal RNA
Source: RNAcentral
CCUACGGGUGGCAGCAGUGAGGAAUAUUGGUCAAUGGGAGAGAUCCUGAACCAGCCAAGCCGCGUGAGGGAAGACGGCCCUAUGGGUUGUAAACCUCUUUUGUCGGAGAACAAAACCCGGGACGUGUCCCGGACUGCGUGUAUCCGAAGAAAAAGCAUCGGCUAACUCCGUGCCAGCAGCCGCGGUAAUACGGAGGAUGCGAGCGUUAUCCGGAUUUAUUGGGUUUGAAGGGUGCGUAGGCGGUCCGUUAAGUCAGCGGUAAAAUUGCGGGGCUCAACCCCGGCCUGCCGUCGGAACUGGGUGCCUUGAGUGGGCGAGAAGUAUGCGGAAUGCGUGGUGUAGCGGUGAAAUGCAUAGAUAUCACGCAGAACCCCGAUUGCGAAGGCAGCAUACCGGCGCCCUACUGACGCUGAGGCUCGAAAGUGUGGGUAUCAAACAGGAUUAGAUACCCUAGUAGUC